AUCCAGCUGACGAGUCUAAAAUAGGACGAAACGUUCCUUCUGGAU
Molecule: non-coding RNA, 45 nt
Filed under: Schistosoma mansoni
Lineage: Eukaryota; Metazoa; Platyhelminthes; Trematoda; Strigeidida; Schistosomatidae
Source: RNAcentral